GGGUCGGUACCGAAGCGGUCAACCGGGGCAGACUGUAAAUCUGCUGGCGUAUGCCUUCGGGGGUUCGAAUCCCUCCCGGCCCA
RNAcentral lists this transfer RNA (83 nucleotides) under Candidatus Magasanikbacteria bacterium CG_4_10_14_0_8_um_filter_42_12. RNAcentral's name for it is "tRNA-Tyr". It matches the Rfam family "tRNA". From Rfam's summary of the family: Transfer RNA (tRNA) molecules are approximately 80 nucleotides in length. Their secondary structure includes four short double-helical elements and three loops (D, anti-codon, and T loops). The record is from RNAcentral. Lineage: Bacteria; Candidatus Magasanikiibacteriota. RNAcentral also lists the same sequence under 3 other names.